This 417-nucleotide ribosomal RNA is filed under the name uncultured soil bacterium. RNAcentral describes it as "bacterial SSU rRNA". It matches the Rfam family "Bacterial small subunit ribosomal RNA", at positions 26 to 431 of the family's 1533-position model. The record is from RNAcentral.
AGAUUGAACGCUGGCGGGGUGCGUGAGACAUGCAAGUCGAACGAGGUGCCAUCGGGCUUGCUCGAUGGCUACCUAGUGGCGGACGGCUGAGUAACGCGUAGGUGACCUACCCGGAAGUGGGGAAUAACUGCCCGAAAGGGUGGCUAAUACCGCAUACGGUCGACGAUUCGCUUCGUCGUCCAAAGGAGUAAUCCGCUUCCGGCGGGGCCUGCGUCCGAUUAGCUAGUUGGUGGGGUAACGCUCACCAAGGCGACGAUCGGUAGCUGGUCUGAGAGGAUGAUCAGCCAGACUGGACUGAGAACGGCCCAGACUCCGUAACGGGAGGCAGCAGGUCGGGAAUUUCGACCAAUGGAACGAAAGUCGUAGAGGCAGACAACUCCGCGUGGAGGGACGAAGGCUCGUACGGGUACGUAAACC